RNAcentral lists this ribosomal RNA (490 nucleotides) under uncultured bacterium. RNAcentral's name for it is "partial 16S ribosomal RNA". It matches the Rfam family "Bacterial small subunit ribosomal RNA", at positions 28 to 507 of the family's 1533-position model. The record is from RNAcentral.
GAUGGACGCUAGCUACAGGCUUAACACAUGCAAGUCGAGGGGCAGCAUGGUCUUAGCUUGCUAAGGCCGAUGGCGACCGGCGCACGGGUGAGUAACACGUAUCCAACCUGCCGUCUACUCUUGGACAGCCUUCUGAAAGGAAGAUUAAUACAAGAUGGCAUCAUGAGUCCGCAUGUUCACAUGAUUAAAGGUAUUCCGGUAGACGAUGGGGAUGCGUUCCAUUAGAUAGUAGGCGGGGUAACGGCCCACCUAGUCUUCGAUGGAUAGGGGUUCUGAGAGGAAGGUCCCCCACAUUGGAACUGAGACACGGUCCAAACUCCUACGGGAGGCAGCAGUGAGGAAUAUUGGUCAAUGGGCGCAGGCCUGAACCAGCCAAGUAGCGUGAAGGAUGACUGCCCUAUGGGUUGUAAACUUCUUUUAUAAAGGAAUAAAGUCGGGUAUGUAUACCCGUUUGCAUGUACUUUAUGAAUAAGGAUCGGCUAACUCCGUG